UCAGCAGUAUUAAAGUGCUUAUAGUGCAGGUAGUGUUUUGCACAAUCUACUGCAAUGUAAGCACUUGAAGUACUUCUAA
RNAcentral lists this microRNA precursor (79 nucleotides) under Oreochromis niloticus (Nile tilapia). RNAcentral describes it as "mir-17 microRNA precursor family". It matches the Rfam family "mir-17 microRNA precursor family". From Rfam's summary of the family: This family represents the microRNA (miRNA) precursor mir-17, family, which includes mir-20, mir-91, and mir-103. miRNAs are transcribed as ~70nt precursors (modelled here) and subsequently processed by the Dicer enzyme to give a ~22nt product. In this case the mature sequence comes from the 3' arm of the precursor. Lineage: Eukaryota; Metazoa; Chordata; Actinopteri; Cichliformes; Cichlidae. RNAcentral also lists the same sequence under 1 other name. The record is from Rfam by way of RNAcentral.